Molecule: ribosomal RNA, 403 nt
Filed under: uncultured bacterium
Lineage: Bacteria
Description: bacterial SSU rRNA
Rfam family: Bacterial small subunit ribosomal RNA
Source: RNAcentral
UAGGGAAUAUUAGUAAUCGGGGAAAGCCGGAACUAGCAACGCCGCGUGUGCGAUGAAGGCCUUCGGGUUGUAAAGCACUUUUUGAGGGGAUGAGAAAGGACGGUACCCUUAGAAUAAGUCUCGGCUAACUACGUGCCAGCAGCCGCGGUAAGACGUAGGAGACGAGCGUUAUUCGGAUUUACUGGGCGUAAAGCGCGUGCAGGCGGUUUGGUAAGUAGGAUGUGAGAGCUCCCGGCUCAACUGGGAGAGGCCGUUCAAAACUGCCAGACUAGAGGAUAGGAGAGGGAGGUGGAAUUCCGGGUGUAGUGGUGAAAUGCGUAGAUAUCCGGAGGAACACCAGUGGCGAAGGCGACCUCCUGGCCUAUUUCUGACGCUCAGACGCGAAAGCUAGGGUAGCAAACGG